GCCAAUUACUGUGGGCCCUUUUUACCUUACCCACCCUGUCAACUUUCCCUGUGGGAGGAAACCGGAGAACCCGGGGAAAACCCACGGCUUUCGGUAGAGCGUUGACUUUUACUCUUUUCAUAUGGGGACUGGGUUCGAAUCGCACUGAGAAGGUACUUGGUGAGACUCGAACCUGCAGCCUCAGAGGUGAAAGGCAAGUGCGCUAACCACUUGGCCACCGAAGC
Non-coding RNA from Paramuricea clavata, 224 nucleotides. The record is from the annotation of a GenBank genome assembly. NCBI's taxonomy places the organism in Eukaryota, Metazoa, Cnidaria, Anthozoa, Malacalcyonacea, Plexauridae.